UAAUGGAUUGUUCUAAUUACUUAUAUAUUACAUGUAGGCUGAUAGAAAUUAAUUAAAUCCUUCUUCCAGUUUACAAUGCGGGCAUGGCAGAGGACAUGGUAAUAAUAUUUUAGUUGGUGGAGAUCCAAAUUCAGAAAAGCAUUUACUGUCGUUACAUUCUUUAAACUGAUAAUCACGUCGCCAGAGUUUCGUAUUAGUUCUAAUUAAAGCAAAGAUAUGGACUCAAAAUAAACUCCAUCACUUAAGUUUACACAAAUAUCUCGAUUAUCUAUACUUCUUGGCUUUCAAAAAUAAAGAACAAACAAGCAAACACUCAUGACCCAAGAUUUUCGGAUGGUUCAGCGCAAAAUACAAUUAACCAACGAGGUAUUUGGUUCGUAUCCUCACAGCAAAUAUCACUUAACUAAUACUGGAUGAGGUGAUGUCUUUGUGUGGUUAUUAUCGAGUGUCAUUAAAGUAUCACAUGGAAUAGGGACGAGGAGAAGCAAGGGGCAGGAGGGUGAAGUACAGGCGUAUAAGCAACACCCGAGGAACAAAACUGAAUUGAGUGUGUUCUGAACUCCAUCGAAUUGCAAACAUGGACGACUCGUGAUUGACGGCAGGACAAACAUUCCAACGACUGUUAUUUGAAACUAGGUAACUACAUAUACUGAAUACACUCUUCCAAUUAUGCACUAGAAAAUGAUCAUGUACACCUAGACCCCGGAAGAUGGAGUGCAAAAGCCUAAUUUACUUAAGCCAUGUUAGUACAGUACACAAGCAUUACAUUUACAGGGAGUAGGUAGCCAGACACCCGACGCUACGGACGUAAAUCACUACCGGUGGAGUUUUUUCUAUCUCCGCUUCGCCCCUGAGCUGCCUCCUUCUCAAAACAAAAGGAUAAAUAGAUACAAAAAAUAAAUGAAACUCCGUGAGGCGUUGUAUCAUACUCCGGGCAGAGGGGAACAACUGGGGCUGUAAUGAACAGACGUAUGAUACUUCAGAGCAGGAAGCGAGGGAGAGACGCUCGCGCAAUUGAGGCAACACACAAGGGUUCGUGCCUCCAUAUUUACGAAGAACUUCCAUGCAGCUGCGACCAUUAUCCACUUGAUCCAUCUGGCGGUACCCUUGUCAGCCAUCAACCCGCCCCCUCGUGGAAGCAAUGGGGCAUGUACUCCACCUGACCCGGGCUCCUACAAGUUUAUGGAAGACAAUGCAACAAGUUAAAGCCCACUGUAGUUCCGACCACCUGCAGCCACCCCCAGACGCCGCGGCUGUUGUCUAAGUGCAGCCUCACCACCAGGAUGCACCCACACGAAAAGUCCUGCGCAUACCUCCCGCACAAUAUACUCGUCCCUCACUACUGCUUGUUUCUCGGCCUCUACAGAACCCCUUACAUCUUAUAUACAUGUUUCUAGCUCAUCAUCAGCCAAAUCAGUGAAUGGGGCAUACAAAUAAAGACACGUAAUAUGCA
Molecule: long non-coding RNA, 1453 nt
Organism: Eriocheir sinensis (Chinese mitten crab)
Lineage: Eukaryota; Metazoa; Arthropoda; Malacostraca; Decapoda; Varunidae
Exons: 2
Source: RefSeq, a predicted model, not a curated record